GCCGCGUGAGUGAAGAGGUUUUCGGAUCGUAAAACUCUGUUGUUAGUGAAGACAAGUGGCAGAGUAACAUGUUCCCACCUUGACCGUAUCUAACCAGAAAGCCACGGCUAACUACCUGCCAGCAGCCGCGGUAAUACGUAAGUCGCAAGCCUUGCCCGGAUUUUUUGGGCGUAAAGCGAGCGCAGGCGGUUUCUUAAGUCUGAUGCCUAACCCCUCAGCCCAACCGAGGAAGGUCCUUGGAAACUGGGGAACUUGAAUGCCGAAGAGGAGAGUGGAAAUCCCUGUGUAGCGGUGAAAUGCCUAGAUAUAUGGAGGAACACCCUUGGCGAAGGCUACCCUCUGGUCCGUAACCGAAGGUGAAGCACCAAAGCUUGGGGAGCUGACAGGAAUAGAUACCCUGGUAGUCCACGCCGUAAACCAUGAGUUCUAAGUGUUGAAGGGUUUCCGCCCUUUUGUGCUGCAGUCAACGCAUUAAGCACUCCGCCUGGGGAAACGGC
This 497-nucleotide ribosomal RNA is filed under the name Vagococcus fluvialis. Its description in RNAcentral is "bacterial SSU rRNA". It matches the Rfam family "Bacterial small subunit ribosomal RNA", at positions 396 to 886 of the family's 1533-position model. RNAcentral also lists the same sequence under 1 other name. The record is from RNAcentral. Lineage: Bacteria; Bacillati; Bacillota; Bacilli; Lactobacillales; Enterococcaceae.